GGGGGUGGUGCGGCGGCGGUUUAUAUAGGGGCAGAGGGGGCCGAAGGAAGGAAGGGGGAGGGGGAAUCGGGGGGGAUCCCAUCGAAUCAGGGGUGGCAGGAGGUCACGCCAUGGCUGUGCGCUGGAAAGGAAAAGGGUCACGUGGGAAGAAAGAAGGAAGGAAGAAGAAAGAAGGAAGAAAAAAAAGAAAGGAAAGAAAAGAAAGAGAAAGAAAAAAAAAUAAAGAAAGGAAGAGGGGUGCGCUGGAGGGUUGGAUGCUCGUGGGGAUGGCCAGGAAUCUCUCCCAGCGAUGGGGGG
Molecule: long non-coding RNA, 297 nt
Filed under: Hordeum vulgare
Lineage: Eukaryota; Viridiplantae; Streptophyta; Magnoliopsida; Poales; Poaceae
Description: long non-coding RNA (HVUL_LNC010370)
Source: RNAcentral